UGCGUAGGCGGUUUACUAAGUCAGAUGUGAAAGCCCCGGGCUUAACCUGGGAACUGCAUUUGAUACUGGUAGGCUAGAGUAUGAUAGAGGGGGGUAGAAUUCCUGGUGUAGCGGUGAAAUGCGUAGAGAUCGGAAGGAACACCAGUGGCGAAGGCGACUGCCUGGACUGAUACUGACACUGAGGUGCGAAAGCGUGGGUAGCAAACA
Molecule: ribosomal RNA, 207 nt
Filed under: uncultured bacterium
Lineage: Bacteria
Description: partial 16S ribosomal RNA
Rfam family: Bacterial small subunit ribosomal RNA
Source: RNAcentral